RNA transcript from Gambusia affinis (western mosquitofish), 2696 nucleotides. RefSeq lists it as uncharacterized. Lineage: Eukaryota; Metazoa; Chordata; Actinopteri; Cyprinodontiformes; Poeciliidae. The transcript is spliced from 3 exons. The record is from RefSeq and is a predicted model, not a curated record.
CAUCGUUUUCGGCUCCUCCCCUAAAUGAAGCAAGCCUCGAUACGCGCUUUACGGAAACGCCCCCUCCAUUACUCGACACACGCCUCGAAGCCUCGGCACAUCACGUAACAUCACUAGUGUUUACUGUGAAAAGCUUGUGCUAGGGAGGUUUGGUGCUCCCUUUUAUUUUUUAAUUUGGAUUGUUUUGAGUUACCUUUAGACUGACUUGUUUGAACUUUUGUAAUUUAAUUUGCACUGCACAUUCUUAAAUUUGUUAGUCAUUUUCUUUCGUUUUCAAUUUGAUUAUAUUGUUCUUUGAAACCACCCUUUUUGUAACAAAUCACCUUUUUUAUUUAACCCCUUUUUUCUCUGGACAUUUUUAUGUUACUGCCCCUGAACCCCUAGACCUUGGGGGGGGGGGGGCUGUAGCAUAAGUGGGGGCUCGUCCGGGACACUCGUUAAGAGGAUCCCUUUGUCCAGAGUUAAAAGAGGAACAUUUUGGGUUGUCUGUAUCCAGCAACCAUGUCAGUUUCAUUUAGUCUGUAGCACUUUUUAGCCGACCCCUCUCUUGACCUUAUUGAUAGCUUCCAUCCAUCUUCUUCCGCUUAUCUGGGGUCGGGUCGCGGGGGUAGCAGCUUCAGAAGGGAGGCCCAGACUUCCCUCUCCCCAGCCACUUCCACCAGUUCCUCCAGAGGGAUGCCAAGGCGUUCCCAGGCCAGCCGAGAGACAUAGUCCCUCCAACGUGUCCUGGGUCUUCCCCGGGGCCUCCUCCCGGUGGGACGUGCCCGGAACACCUCACCAGGGAGGCGUCCAGGAGGCAUCCUGACCAGCUAGCUCUUGAUAGCUGCCGCAAGUGUGAAUUGCUGCAAAUUGUGGAGCAUUUUAAGCUGCAGGUCCCAAAACAGGUCCUUAAAGGGGACCUAAAUGCUCUAAUAGUGGAGAAGUUGGUGGAGAUUGGGGUAAUCAAAGAGCCUACUGUAGUGCCAUGCCAAAAGGCCUUGUUUGUGGAGGACCUCAAGGACAGUCCUUGUGUGGAGGAAGCAGUGAGUAAUCGGGGGAAGACACCUUGCACACUCCCUCGCUAUGACCCACUGUCUUCUGUGAGUUUUAGAAGGAUGAGAUGGAGCUCGUUUGAAGGGGAGGUUGGCACGUCUCCAGAUGGAGGCUGAGGAAAAAGCCCAGGACAGAAGAGCUCAGCUGGAGCUUGAGAUCAGGAGGCUGGAAAUAGAGGCUGACAAAGCUAUAAAGCUGCGCAAACUUGAGCUGGAGGCCCAGGCUCGAGCACCUUCUGCCUCUAUCACACCUGGUUCCACCACCAUGUCUGCUAUGCCAUUUGACAUCAUGAGGAUGAUGCAGAAAGUAAAAGUAACAGCAUGAUGUUACUUCUAGAGUUGGUGGAGCUGGAGGAGCCUGGUCCACUCUGGGAGAAAGCGUCCAUCCCCAUGACCAGCCAACACUUGUCAUCUGCUCCACAAGCUGAUGAAACAUUACAAAAAUGUUUCAAGAAUGUGGUAAGUGCUGAACAAGCCAAUAAAAAGAAACUAGGUGUUUUAAAGCGUCGCUGGUCUUCAUCAUUUGAUAAAAGCUCUAACUGGAGUAAAGUUAAGCAGUCAUGCCACCCCUGACCUGCACGCAAACCAAAUGGUGUUUGUGCUCGAGUUGCAGUCAGAACUCCACUAAUAGUGGCUAAGCUGAACCAUGCAGGUGAGCCAGGGAAAAAUGAUUCCAUUUGUUUUAGUCCUUCUUGUAUUUAUGUCAAUGCUAAAGUUGUGGCAAUUAAUAAUUAUUCCACUCCCAAAACAAAACAAGAAUGGUAUACUCCUUGCUACACACCUGUAUUAGCUGCACCUGAUCUGACAGACCAUUUAUGUUAGAGGUGGAUGCCAGCGCUGUUGAGGCAGGUGCAGUGCUAAUACAGGAAGAUUUGCAGGGUUUAGAUCAUCCUGUUUGCUAUUUCUCCUGCAAGUUCAAUAAACAUCAACUGAAAUAUUCAACCAUUGAAAAAGAAACCUUGGCUCUGUUAUUGGCUCUUCAGCACUUCCAUGUAUAUCUUGGUUCCAGUAGUUUACCAAUCGAUGUCUUCACUGACCAUAACCACCUAGCUUUCCUUUCUCGCAUGUAUAACCACAAUCAGCGCCUUAUGCGGUGGGCUUUACUACUCCAAGAAUACAACCCGAACAUUCAACAUAAAAAAGGAACAGAAAAUGUUCUUGCAGAUGGCCUUUCCAGGUUGACCAGCUGUGACAGCACCCCUUCUGAUUGGCUGCCUGGAAGCUGCAGGAGGCACACCCCAUUGGAUCAGCAGAGCAUGGCAAGCCAAUCAGAGGCUGAUGAGCCUCACCUGUUCCUUUAAAAGGCUCCUGAAACAUUCCUCCAGUGGGGGCAGCUAGUAGGAAGAGGUUCUGUAAAGCUGUUCCCCAUCCUUUUGUUUGCUACUGCUAAAGCAGUUUGAUUGUGUUUACUGUGAAAAGCUUGUGCUAGGGAGGUUUGGUGCUCCCUUUUGUUUUUUGAUUUGUGUUGUUUUGAGUUACCUUUAGACUGACUUGUUUGAACUUUUGUAAUUUAAUUUGCACUGCACAUUCUUAAAUUUGUUAGUCAUUUUCUUCCGUUUUCAAUUUGGUUAUGUUGUUCUGUGAAGCCACCUUUUUUGUAAUAAAUCACCUUUUUUAUUUAAUCCCUUUUUUCUCUGGACAUUUUUAUGUUACCGACCCUGGAUC